Molecule: ribosomal RNA, 497 nt
Filed under: uncultured bacterium
Lineage: Bacteria
Description: partial 16S ribosomal RNA
Rfam family: Bacterial small subunit ribosomal RNA
Source: RNAcentral
GAUGAACGCUGGCGGCGUGCCUAAUACAUGCGAGUCGAGCGAACAGAUGAGGAGCUUGCUCCUCUGACGUUAGCGGCGGACGGGUGAGUAACACGUGGAUAACCUACCUAUAAGACUGGGAUAACUUCGGGAAACCGGAGCUAAUACCGGAUAAUAUAUUGAACCGCAUGGUUCAAUAGUGAAAGACGGUUUUGCUGUCACUUAUAGAUGGAUCCGCGCCGCAUUAGCUAGUUGGUAAGGUAACGGCUUACCAAGGCAACGAUGCGUAGCCGACCUGAGAGGGUGAUCGGCCACACUGGAACUGAGACACGGUCCAGACUCCUACGGGAGGCAGCAGUAGGGAAUCUUCCGCAAUGGGCGAAAGCCUGACGGAGCAACGCCGCGUGAGUGAUGAAGGUCUUCGGAUCGUAAAACUCCGUUAUUAGGGAAGAACAAAUGUGUAAGUAACUAUGCACGUCUUGACGGUACCUAAUCAGAAAGCCACGGCUAACUACGUG